Molecule: ribosomal RNA, 488 nt
Filed under: uncultured bacterium
Lineage: Bacteria
Description: partial 16S ribosomal RNA
Rfam family: Bacterial small subunit ribosomal RNA
Source: RNAcentral
GACGAACGCUGGCGGCGUGCUUAACACAUGCAAGUCGAACGGAAAGGCCCUGCUUUUGUUGGGUGCUCGAGUGGCGAACGGGUGAGUAACACGUGAGUAACCUGCCCUUGACUUUGGGAUAACUUCAGGAAACUGGGGCUCAUACCGGAUAGGAGCUCCUGCUGCAUGGUGGUGGUUGGAAAGUUUCGGCGGUUGGGGAUGGACUCGCGGCUUAUCAGCUUGUUGGUGGGGUAGUGGCUUACCAAGGCUUUGACGGGUAGCCGACCUGAUAGGGGAACCGGCCACACUGGAAGUGAGAGGGGGACCAGAGUCCAACGGAAGACAGAAGAAGGGAAUCGGCCGCAAGGGGCGAAAACGUGACGGAGCAACGCCGCGGGAGUGAUGAAGGUCGGCGGAGCGUAAAACUCUGGUAUGAGGGAAGAACAAAUGUGUAAGGAACUAAGCACGGCAUGACGGUACCUAAUCAGAAAGCCACAGCUAACUACGUG